AUAUAUAUAUAUAUAUAUAUAUAUAUACAUAUGCACGUAUUUUUUCUUCUUUCUACAUUUAAAAUGGCAUAAAAUUAAAAAAAAAAAUAAUAAAAAAAAAAAAAAAAAAAAAAAAAAAAAAAAAAAAAAAAAAAAAAAAAAAAAAAAAAAAAAAAAAAAAAAAAAAAAAAAAAAAAAAAAAAAAAAAAGAUGGAACCAAAUAGAAGGGUGCUCCAAAGAAAAACCAAAAUUAAAUUGCUAUCCAAAUUUUGUU
RNAcentral lists this long non-coding RNA (253 nucleotides) under Piliocolobus tephrosceles (Ugandan red Colobus). RNAcentral's name for it is "lncRNA (ENSPTEG00000021173.1)". Lineage: Eukaryota; Metazoa; Chordata; Mammalia; Primates; Cercopithecidae. The record is from RNAcentral.